This 1108-nucleotide long non-coding RNA is filed under the name Homo sapiens (human). RNAcentral describes it as "long non-coding RNA NONHSAT159621.1". The record is from RNAcentral. Lineage: Eukaryota; Metazoa; Chordata; Mammalia; Primates; Hominidae.
AACCUGAGCUGCGGGGCCUAAGCCGAGCUAAAUUCGUUGCAGGUGGCCGCGGCGGGUGCAACCACAAAGGCUAAUCCGAAGGAGUCGGGGAGGCUCGUGGAGUCGAUGCUUCCUCUUCCAAGUCAGGUCGGCUCCCGUUACCUUCUCAGCAUUCGCCGUUCCGGUCUUCCUGAGCGCGUGCAUGAGGUCUUUCGCGUGGGGAAGCUCCGGUGACCAUGUAGGGGAGAAGAGUGAGGAAGCUCCUGGUGCUUGGGACGAGGUCAGCGCUGUCGGCGCGCUGCUCCAGCGCCCACCACACCCUGGUGCGGGCCGACGGGCCCUGGGCCCUGGUGGGAGCUCCGGCCUCCGGUCAAGGCCUGGCCGGGAGCGCCACGAAUUCUCGCGUCGUCUCGCGAGAGUCCAAGUUAAAGAACAUGGCGACGUCUAAUCUGUUAAAGAAUAAAGGUUCUCUUCAGUUUGAAGACAAAUGGGAUUUUAUGCGCCCGAUUGUUUUGAAGCUUUUACGCCAGGAAUCUGUUACAAAACAGCAGUGGUUUGAUCUGUUUUCGGAUGUGCAUGCAGUCUGUCUUUGGGAUGAUAAAGGCCCAGCAAAAAUUCAUCAGGCUUUAAAAGAAGAUAUUCUUGAGUUUAUUAAGCAAGCACAGGCACGAGUACUGAGCCAUCAAGAUGAUACGGCUUUGCUAAAAGCAUAUAUUGUUGAAUGGCGAAAGUUCUUUACACAAUGUGAUAUUUUACCAAAACCUUUUUGUCAACUAGAGAUUACUUUAAUGGGUAAACAGGGCAGCAAUAAAAAAUCAAAUGUGGAAGACAGUAUUGUUCGAAAGCUUAUGCUUGAUACAUGGAAUGAGUCAAUCUUUUCAAACAUAAAAAACAGACUCCAAGAUAGUGCAAUGAAGCUGGUACAUGCUGAGAGAUUGGGAGAAGCUUUUGAUUCUCAGCUGGUUAUUGGAGUAAGAGAAUCCUAUGUUAACCUUUGUUCUAAUCCUGAGGAUAAACUUCAAAUUUAUAGGGACAAUUUUGAGAAGGCAUACUUGGAUUCAACAGAGAGAUUUUAUAGAACACAAGCACCCUCGUAUUUACAACAAAAUGGUGUACAGAAUUAUAUGAA